This 103-nucleotide small nuclear RNA is filed under the name Vulpes vulpes (red fox). Lineage: Eukaryota; Metazoa; Chordata; Mammalia; Carnivora; Canidae. The record is from RNAcentral.
AUGCUCUCUUUGGUAGCACAUAUACCAAAAUUGGAACGAUUCAGAGAUUGGCAUAGCCCGUGGGCAAGGGACAUGCAAACCAGCAGAUUUUCCUCAUGGUCUU